AGGACGAACGCUGGCGGCGUGCUUAACACAUGCAAGUCGAGCGGUGAUCCUCCUUCGGGAGGUGAGCAGCGGCGAACGGGUGAGUAACACGUGGGCAACCUGCCCCUCACACUGGGAUAACCUCGGGAAACCGGGGCUAAUACCGGAUAUGACCUCGAGCGGCAUCUCUUGAGGUGGAAAGCUCCGACGGUGAGGGAUGGGCCCGCGGCCUAUCAGCUUGUUGGUGGGGUAAUGGCCUACCAAGGCGACGACGGGUAGCCGGCCUGAGAGGGCGACCGGCCACACUGGGACUGAGACACGGCCCAGACUCCUACGGGAGGCAGCAGUGGGGAAUAUUGCGCAAUGGGCGAAAGCCUGACGCAGCGACGCCGCGUGAGGGAUGAAGGCCUUCGGGUUGUAAACCUCUUUCAGCAGGGACGAAGCGAAAGUGACGGUACUGCAGAGAAGCACCGGCUAACUACGCGCCAGCAGCCGCGGUAA
This 480-nucleotide ribosomal RNA is filed under the name uncultured bacterium. RNAcentral describes it as "SSU rRNA". It matches the Rfam family "Bacterial small subunit ribosomal RNA", at positions 26 to 523 of the family's 1533-position model. The record is from RNAcentral.